This 253-nucleotide ribosomal RNA is filed under the name uncultured bacterium. RNAcentral describes it as "partial 16S ribosomal RNA". It matches the Rfam family "Bacterial small subunit ribosomal RNA", at positions 524 to 776 of the family's 1533-position model. The record is from RNAcentral.
GACGAACCGUGCGAACGUUGUUCGGAUUCACUGGGCUUAAAGGGCGCGUAGGCGGCUCGCCAAGUCGGGGGUGAAAUCUUUCGGCUCAACCGGAAAACAGCUUCCGAUACUGGCGGGCUUGAGGGAGGUAGGGGCGGACGGAACUUCCGGUGGAGCGGUGAAAUGCGUAGAUAUCGGAAGGAACGCCGGUGGCGAAAGCGGUCCGCUGGAUCUCUUCUGACGCUGAGGCGCGAAAGCCAGGGGAGCAAACGGG